RNAcentral lists this long non-coding RNA (975 nucleotides) under Monodelphis domestica (gray short-tailed opossum). Its description in RNAcentral is "lncRNA (ENSMODG00000048037.1)". The record is from RNAcentral. Lineage: Eukaryota; Metazoa; Chordata; Mammalia; Didelphimorphia; Didelphidae.
ACCCAUUUCAUAGAUUUUUUAUGAGGUCUAUGAUUUUCAUCAGUUUAGUAAACUCCCUCUAGAAAUUCAAAUGAGGGGGAAGCUAGGUGGCUAAGAGGAAGGAAGGAAGGAAGGAAGGAAGGAAGGAAGGAAGGAAGGAAGGAAGGAAGGAAGGAAGGAAGGAAGGAAGGAAGGAAGGAAGGAAGGAAGGACGGAAGGAAGGAAGGAAGGGAGGGAGGGAGGGAGGGAGGACGGAAAGAAGGAAGGGAGGGAGCCAACUCUAAAUGCUCCAGUGGUGUAAUAUAGAAAGAAAGAAAGAAAGAAAGAAAGAAAGAAAGAAAGAAAGAAAGAAAGAAAGAAAGAAAGAAAGAAAGAAAGAAAGAAAGAAAGAAAGAAAGAAAGAAAGAAAGAAAGAAAGGAAGGAAGGAAGGAAGGAAGGAAGGAAGGAAGGAAGGAAGGAAGGAAGGAAGGAAGGAAGGAAGGAAGGAAGGAAGGAAGGAAGGAAGGAAGAUGCUAGGGAAUAUUCACACAAACCAGCCAUCUCUCCAUGUCCUUUGUGUCACCUUCAAUUUGGCUUCUUCAGAGAUCCUGGUGUUCCUGAUUUGCAGAUAUAAGCCAUCCCUUAGGAAAUGCUGGAGUUGAAAAGAUGGGCAUUUGUUUCAAAGAACUACUCAAGACCAAAGUCCCACAAUAUACCCCAACUACAGUUUAGCCCCAAACUCUUCCUCCUAUUAAAUUCUGUGCCCAAACUAUUGUCAGUUUGCUUUACCCAUUCAAGAUCUAUAAACUGUCCAUCCAACUGCAUACCACAAGCUGGACAAGGUGCAUUUUUAAUCCAUCUUGUUUUUCUUCCGUAUAUUUCUAGGCCAGUCCCUUUUGAGUGGCCAUGGAACUGAUAGAGAUAUAGUAUCCUAGGUUUUGAAUUAUAUAUCUAUACUAUCACACUAUAUCCUUUUUUCUAUAUAUAUCUAGAGGAACUCACUAUCUAUAAGGAAU